Molecule: ribosomal RNA, 189 nt
Filed under: uncultured bacterium
Lineage: Bacteria
Description: partial 16S ribosomal RNA
Rfam family: Bacterial small subunit ribosomal RNA
Source: RNAcentral
CCCGCCUGCGUGAAGUUGGAAUCGCUAGUAAUCGCGGAUCAGCAUGCCGCGGUGAAUACGUUCCCGGGCCUUGUACACACCGCCCGUCACACCAUGAGAGUCGGGAACACCCGAAGUCCGUAGUCUAACCGCAAGGGGACGCGGCCGAAGGUGGGUUCGAUAAUUGGGGUGAAGUCGUAACAAGGUACC